Molecule: ribosomal RNA, 424 nt
Filed under: uncultured bacterium
Lineage: Bacteria
Description: bacterial SSU rRNA
Rfam family: Bacterial small subunit ribosomal RNA
Source: RNAcentral
GGAGCUUAACACAUGCAAGUCGAACGAUGAAGCCGGAGCUUGCUCUGGUGGAUUAGUGGCGAACGGGUGAGUAACACGUGAGUAACCUGCCCUUGACUCUGGGAUAAGCGUUGGAAACGACGUCUAAUACCGGAUACGAGCUGGGACCGCAUGGUCACCAGCUGGAAAGAAUUUCGGUCAAGGAUGGACUCGCGGCCUAUCAGUUAGUUGGUGAGGUAACGGCUCACCAAGACGACGACGGGUAGCCGGCCUGAGAGGGUGACCGGCCACACUGGGACUGAGACACGGCCCAGACUCCUACGGGAGGCAGCAGUGGGGAAUAUUGCACAAUGGGCGCAAGCCUGAUGCAGCAACGCCGCGUGAGGGACGACGGCCUUCGGGUUGUAAACCUCUUUUAGCAGGGAAGAAGCGAAAGUGACGGUAC